RNAcentral lists this ribosomal RNA (505 nucleotides) under uncultured bacterium. RNAcentral's name for it is "bacterial SSU rRNA". It matches the Rfam family "Bacterial small subunit ribosomal RNA", at positions 31 to 518 of the family's 1533-position model. The record is from RNAcentral.
GAACGCUGGCGGCGUGCUUAACACAUGCAAGUCGAACGCGAAAGGGACUUCGGUCCUGAGUAAAGUGGCGCACGGGUGAGUAACGCGUGGAUAAUCUGCCCUUAUGAUCGGGAUAACAGUUGGAAACGGCUGCUAAUACCGGAUACGCUCAAGAUGAACUUUUUGAGGAAAGAUGGCCUCUGCUUGCAUGCUAUCGCAUAGGGAUGAGUCCGCGUCCCAUUAGCUUGUUGGCGGGGUAACGGCCCACCAAGGCAACGAUGGGUAGCCGAUUUGAGAGGAUGAUCGGCCACACUGGAACUGAAACACGGUCCAGACUCCUACGGGAGGCAGCAGUGGGGAAUAUUGCGCAAUGGGCGAAAGCCUGACGCAGCGACGCCGCGUGAGGGAUGAAAGGUUUUCGGAUCGUAAACCUCUGUCAGAAGGGAAGAAACUACGUUGUGCUAAUCAGCAGCGUACUGACGGUACCUUCAAAGGAAGCACCGGCUAACUCCGUGCCAGCAGCAGC